Molecule: RNA transcript, 4797 nt
Organism: Nyctereutes procyonoides (raccoon dog)
Lineage: Eukaryota; Metazoa; Chordata; Mammalia; Carnivora; Canidae
Gene: TMEM192
Gene name: transmembrane protein 192
Exons: 7
Source: RefSeq, a predicted model, not a curated record
GAGGCGCGGAGGCCCCGGAGGCGGCGCUGUGCCCGGCGGAGGGCGCGCGCGCGGGUGGAGAGGCCAGGCUGGGCCCGGCCUGGGCCGCGGGCUUCGGGGAUGGCUACGCGGGGCAGGAUGGAGGACGGUUCCUUGGAUCUCACCCAGAGUAUUGAAGAUGACCCCCUUCUGGACACCCACCAUCUCCCACAUCUUUCAUUACAUGCUCAUUUUAGACCCAGAUUCCAUCCUCUUCCUACGGUCAUCAUAGCAAAUCUUCUCUUAUUAGUACAUGUUGUAUUUGUCAUUUUAGCAUUUUUAACAGGUAUACUUUGUUCUUACCCUAAUCCAAUUGAGGACAAGUGCCCAGGAAACUAUACCAACCCACUGAAAGUUCAGACAGUCAUAAUCCUUGGGAAGGUUAUCUUGUGGAUCCUGCAUUUCCUUCUUGAGCGCUACAUCCAGUAUCACCACAACAAAGUGAGAAACCGGGGCUACACCAUGAUCUACCUGUCGACCAGGCACCUGAAAGGACUCGCGCUGCUGAUCCACUCCACCGGCAGCACGGCUCUCCUCCUGGUGCUGAGCGUGCAGCACUCCUUCCCUGCGCCCGCCCGGCUGUAUCUUUACCUCGUCCUGGCCAUCCUGGCCCUGGAACUGCUCUGUUCCCUGACCUGUCUGCUCAUCUACACAGUGAAAAUUCGAAAAUUUAAUAAAGCCAAACCACAGCCGGAUGUACUUGAAGAGGAAAAAAUCUAUGCUUACCCCAGCAAUAUCACCUCGGAGACUGGAUUCAGGACCGUCUCAAGCCUGGAAGACAUCGUCGAAAAGCAGGGAGACGUCAUCGCGCACCUGAAGCGACACAACGCCCUGCUGAGUAAGCGGUUGCUGACGUUCACUUCCUCCGGGGACUCUCCGCCCAGUAGAGCGUGAGGGCCUGGCCAGGCCAGUGGCUGCAGAGGGAGAGGGGCCCACUGAUCACCUGACAAGCCGGCCCAGCAGGUGGCAGUUUGGGCCCGAUGCCACUGGAUGCCACUGACGGUUCUUAUUUGAAACCUGAAUUGUGUUCUCCCUGUGGGGAUGUUGAGCAGGUGGGACUCGUGGGUCACCUGAAAGGUGCUUCACAGAGCCUGGAUGCUCCGAUGCCCAGGGAGGACGUCUCUUUUUGCACAUUUUGAAGUCCUUAACCGUCUGGCUCAUCCGAGGAUCAGAGGUAUGAUUAAGCCUGGUCUCGCGCAGCCCUGCUUCCGCAGGCCGUAGAACCCUGGAAUGACUUGGCUGCUUAUAUGGAGAUUGACAGGAUCAUCUGUUUUAAACAAGGGUUUGAUCAAAUAAGUUCUUUCCGCUCUUAAACUGAUGGGAGGAGUCAUUAUUUUUUGUGGUUAAUUAAUGUUUUCUUUGCCCUGCGGAGCCUCACCGUGUACCCGACCUGCUUGUGUGCUGUGGAUUACAGCUUGGCCCUGUAGCUUUUAUGAAGAAUUUCCUCCCCGUAGGACCCGUCUCACUAGGUGAUUUACUAUGCAAACUCCUACACCUUUUCAUUCUCCACAAAUAAGAGAAUCAAGAUCGCUCAGACCAGGGUCAGACUGACCGAUGCUGCUCGUUGUAUCAGCAGCACCUUCCCCUGGCAACAGAAAUACCCGAGAGAAAACCUGAGAACUUUCCCUUUAUUUUAAUCCUUCUUCAAGGAGUUGCCAUGUGCUUCAGUAUUGACUAUCCCUUGAUUAGAUCAAGAAAGGUAGGUUCAGUGGCUCUAAGCGGGUCUAAAGAGGAAAAAUUAUACUUCCUUAAGUUUCAUUUAUUUAAGUAAUCUCUAUGCCCAAUGUGGGGCUCGAACUUGACCCAGGGAUCAAGAGUCACGUGCCCUUCCAGCCGAGCCAGCCAGCCCUCCCUUGGAUUAUAGUUUCAAAUUAUGAAAAUAAAUUGUCAUAUAAACUUACAUAGAGAUAUUAAUUAUAUCUAAUCCUCCAGGUGGAAUGAAGCAUUUUUGUAAGUAAAGGGCAUCAUUUCCUCAGUUUUCCCAGUCUGCCCCUUUAUCCAUUUGCAUUAGCACCUCUAUUACUGCCCUAGGAAGCUUCAUAGGAGGGGAGGGGACAUUUGUGAUUAUGUAUGUGGGUCAUUAACUGAAUAAUCAAGAUCUCAUCUGAAAACCCUGUGUAGAAAUACACAGGUAUUUCUCAGGGGAUGCAGUCAUUCGGUCACAUCCGGGUCCUUAGGAGGGUGAACACCAGUUACCUUCAGAUCUAGCCAUUGCUGGGACCUUCUACAAGUUGUCUUCUAAGUUCCCCGAUCCCAGGGUGAAGAAAAUGCAAGCACUGGAAGAGGAAGGAGAAUCCAAAGACACCCCAAAGGAAACUGGACUAAGAAAAGCCAUAUGUGUGUCUCCAAUGGUGAACGUGAAUACCUCACAAACAACUGUGGCUUCCCGUUGGUGUGAAUGUUGUGAAGGUUGGUGGCCGAGGACGCAAGCAAAGAUCAGAGGAUUUCUAUUCCAAACCUAUGAUAUUGUCUCCUUAACACUUCUGUUGGCAUUUGUCCUAAGGGUGUGGUGAAACGAGGGUGUUGGAAGGCCAGAGGGAGGCUAGUUGUGUUGGUAGUGCACAUGGAGAAUGCUGUAGACCUGACCUGGAUGGACGUCAGUGGAUUACAAAGUGGAUAUACACGCACCAUGACUGGUUGCCUGUGGAGAGUGAAGGGGUACAAGGAGCCUCCAAGUUCAUGAAAUGGACAUUUGGGUGAUUUGAGCUACCAUCCCAGGAAGAGCAGGUUUGGGGAGAAAUUGAAGUUAAAUACUGGUCACACUGUGCUAUUACAUUGGAUUUCAUUGAGAAAUGCAAGCAGAGAAGUUCCGUAUGCAGUCGGAAAUCCUGACAUUUGUGGGACAGGUCUCAGCUAGAGGUAAUGAGUAGGAAUCUCAUGCAAAAUAAAGCCAUUAGAGUACAGGACAUCCCAAAAGGAUGUUGACAAGGGAAAAGGGAAAGGCACGUGCCCCUUUUAAAUAUUCGGACACUACUCAAUUGCCAAAGGGUCUUGCUUUCCUAUCCCUUAAGCAGAAAAAAAAAAACCAACGCAUCAAACGUGAAUCUAUUCUCGUUCCUUCCCAAAAUGGUAUCAAUACACCGACCCACUCACAGCCUCUCAUAAGCACAGGCGCUGUCUCCGGGUCACUCCUAAGGGAGGCAAAAUCAAGAAGCCAAGUAACUUGGUGGAAAAGGACCUCAGCUCUUUAAGCAGAUGGUUGGGAGUUGGAUCGACCCCGCACAAGCUGGCGGAAUUCAGGGCUGGCGGUAAGGUGGCUAUGCUAUUAAUGCAGUGACAAUUAAGUGAGUCAGUAUAAGCCAGCUGCCUAAAGCCCUGCCUGGGCUUGGAAAGAACACAUGACUUACUAGCUAUCACUAAGUCGAGUGAUAAAAUCUUUCAUCUACGAUAUGCUGGAGAAACUAAAUGCCAUGGUUUUAUCUUGAAAUGCAGAAACCUGGGUUUAUUAUUCGUGACACUGUCUUCAAAAAACUUAUUCUUCCCAUCUCAAAUAUAUCUUCUGGACCAAGAUACCCAAAUAAUUUUUUUUUUUUUUUUUUGGUCUCCUCCUUUCUCAACAAGAAGCCAUUUGUCACUACCUCUUCCACUGCCCUGAGACUAUUUUCAAAUGUUUUCAGUAAUCUGGUGUCCAACAUUGAAAUCGUUUCUGUCUGGACUUUUUUUUCUUAAGAUUUUGUUUUAUUUAUUUGAGAGAGAGAAAGGGAGAGAGUGACAGAGAUGGCAAGAGAGAGCAGGAGCAGGGAGGAGAAGGAGAAGCAGGCUGCCGGCUGAGGGGGGCCGGACUCAGGGCUGGACCCCAGGGCUCUGCGAUCAUGACCUGCGCCCCAGGCAGCCACUUAGGGGACAGCCACCCAGGUGCCCCAGGUGUCUUUUUGAUCUCUUAAGAACUUGAUCUUGCUGCCUGGCCUCAGGAUGCACCUUUCCAGUCUAAGGCUACUCAGAAGUGGGUGGUUGCCAGGUUUCUUUCCUUGACGCUCUAGGUUCCUUGUCCCCAAGCUCCCAGGCCGCAGGGGCUCCUGCUUGGGGCACAGGGCACGGUGUUCCUGGGGACGGAAGCAGAUCCAGAAUUUCCAGUGGGCCCAGCAGGCAACCCGAUGGGCCCCCCAGGCAACCCGACGGGUUCCACCCGUUGUUCUCCCUGUGCCCUGGCCUCCGGAUCUCCUAAAUCCUAGCUAGCACCCUGUUAUGACUUUAUGAGCUCACUGCGCGUGAGGCACACACCAAACCCCGAGUGCAGGGAUCCCGUCUGGAGUCCCCACCCUCAGAGAAGCCACGGCCCAGAGACCCGAGAAGCAGACACCACGCGCUGCACGGCCUGCCUCGGGUCGGCGGCCCAGGCAAGGAGGGCUGUCUUGGCUCGGGUCAUCAGGCCGCCACGCUCGGAGGCCGAGAAAAAUCAAGGCCAUCCACCUCAAGUUUAGCAUUAGCACAAGUACAGCCAUCUUAGGCCCCUGUGACUAAGAGCUGAACUUUACGGGAAAAACUGCAGAAUGUCCUCAAUGUCCUCAGCAGGGAAUCCCAUAUCACAAAGACAACAGAGCCCACCGCCAUGGUAAAAAGUCCCAUAUUAGAAUGGGAACAGAGCUCAAUGCCCUUGAAAGCCCCAUAUCAGAAUGUUAACAGAACUUGAAAAAUUCCUCCACCCCUUCGGAAAAUCCCCUAGACCAGCCUAUAAAAAACCCAGCUAUAACCCACUUCGGGGUCCAAGUCCCUGCGCCGCUGUGGCUGGUACACUUGGACCCAAGCUCGAGCUUGCUAAUAAACCCUCGUGUGCUUGCA